AUUGAACGCUGGCGGCAUGCCUUACACAUGCAAGUCGAACGGCAGCACGGGAGCAAUCCUGGUGGCGAGUGGCGAACGGGUGAGUAAUGUAUCGGAACGUACCUUUCAGUGGGGGAUAACGUAGCGAAAGUUACGCUAAUACCGCAUAUUCUGUGAGCAGGAAAGCAGGGGAUCGCAAGACCUUGCGCUGAUUGAGCGGCCGAUAUCAGAUUAGCUAGUUGGUGAGGUAAAGGCUCACCAAGGCGACGAUCUGUAGCGGGUCUGAGAGGAUGAUCCGCCACACUGGAACUGAGACACGGUCCAGACUCCUACGGGAGGCAGCAGUGGGGAAUUUUGGACAAUGGGCGCAAGCCUGAUCCAGCCAUGCCGCGUGAGUGAAGAAGGCCUGGUGU
RNAcentral lists this ribosomal RNA (392 nucleotides) under uncultured bacterium. RNAcentral's name for it is "bacterial SSU rRNA". It matches the Rfam family "Bacterial small subunit ribosomal RNA", at positions 30 to 422 of the family's 1533-position model. The record is from RNAcentral.